Molecule: non-coding RNA, 1005 nt
Organism: Sus scrofa (pig)
Lineage: Eukaryota; Metazoa; Chordata; Mammalia; Artiodactyla; Suidae
Source: RefSeq, a predicted model, not a curated record
GUGUAGGCCAGCGGCUACAGCUCCAAUUUGACCCCUAGCCUGGGAUCCUCCAUAUGCCUCGGGAGUAGCCCAAGAAAUGGCAAAAAGACAAAAAAAAAAAAAGAAUAUUCUAAGAGGAGGAACUGUCAACCCAUAUAUUGAGGCUGUGAUCCUUGUUGAACAGGUUUUGUCAUCUGAUGCUGAUAACAUUUAGAAACUUCAAUUGCCUUUUGGAUGUAAUGUGUCCCAAAAAUGUAGUUCUCUUGGUUCUAUGAUUAUAGAAUAUGUCAGUUCUAAUGAGUUAUUCCAGGGCAAAAAUAAGUCCUCUUCUGUUAAGCAUUUUCUCCUAAAUCAGUUUGGAAACAUUUUAGGAGUUCUUCUAAAACCCAAGCGGAAAAUAUUGGCUUCCUCCCUGAUUAAAACCAUUCCAUCCAUUACCAAACAAUGAUCAGAAGGUCUUAAAUGUAGCCCCUGUGGACCCUUCAGAAAACAUCUUGAAACAGCAUGGUAAAUAGAUUCAGAAAAGGUGUGUGGUUUGGUGAAAGAACUAUUAAAACUUACUUUCUGUUCCCAGGGCUGCUGUCACGUGAUGCAGGAGAAUUUAGAUAACAUCUCCUGCUAUAAAAUGGAGGAAAAGAAUAUCUCACCAGAUAAUGGGAUUCCAGGUGUCACUGGAAGGAAGAACUGUAGCCACCUUGUUAGUAGCGUGUCACGUUCCCAGUGAGAGUCUGUGGAAGCCUGAAGGAACAGUCCGAGAGGAUGUCAUUGUCGUGGUUUGAAGCUCUAUUUAGGUCAUCCUAUGAAAAGCCAUGGCUAAAAUGUGGCACUGCUUGCAGAAUGACUGAUUUGGAGGCUUUUGGUAGAAGCUGUUUUAUCAUCUUGGCAAAAUGGGAAAAUAUCUGCAAGUCAGGGCAAGGGGACUUGUACAAGGCCAUGAACAGGAAGUGACCUUAAGGUACUGUCUUCCAUCUCUAUGUUUUAUCUACCAGACUCAACAGAAGAAUAAAAUGUGCUUGUAAAAUAUAA